UUAACUACUUACAGUAGUGUAAACUUGAUUUUUAUUUUGAUUUUUAUAUAAAGAAAUCAAUUUAUAGUUAUUAGAAUAAUAAAUGAAAAACUUGGCUCUGAUUUGUUAAUAUGGCAUAAACUAAAAAAUACACAUGGUUUUUUUUGAAAGAGACGAGGUAAAAAGGGAACAGCUAUAAGUGUAUAACUUUAUAGCUUGUUUUUUUUAUAAGAUACUAUAGUUAUAUAGGAUGUCUUGAAAAGUCCCGUUAACACCAGUGUUGAAGAUUAAUUUUAAAGCGGAAGCUUGUGUUAAUUUAGUGAAAUAAAUUUGGUCAACUUGGUGCCAGCAUCCGCGGUUACACCAAGAAAUUAAGUCAUAUAGAAAGGUGAAAAGACAGUUAAAUUUACUUGGAAAUUAUAUAACUUUUUGUAAAAAAGUAAAAUUUGAAUACAAAUUUCUAAUCUAAUAAUAAUUUAAUAGGUUGAAGCUGUGAAAGCCUCGAGGGAAACUGGGAUUAGAUACCCCAUUAUUCUUGGUCAUAAAUUAAUAAACAAUAUAUUUACCGGAGUACUAUGAAUACUAUAAAAUUUAAAACUCAAAGGGCUUGGCGGUGUUUUAGACCACUCAGGGGAACCUGUCUCAUAAUCGAUAAUCCACGAUAAACCUGACCUUUUUUUGUACUCAGCUUGUAUACCGUUGUCGUCAGGUAACUUUUUAGAAAUUAGAAGUUAGCUAUUAGUUUCUAAGCUGAAACGUCAAAUCAAGGUGCAGUUUAUAGAAAGGGGAAGAUGGGUUACAAUUAUAAAAUUAUAAUACGAAGAGUCAUUAGAAUUAAAGACAUGAAGGAGGACUUGAAAGUAAAAUAGAUUAUAUAAAUACUUUGAAUGCGGCUCUGAAACGUGCACACAUCGCCCGUCGCUCUUGUUGGAAAAUAAGAUAAGUCGUAACAUAGUAGGGGUAAUGGAAAUUGUUCCUGAACU
This 962-nucleotide non-coding RNA is filed under the name Inquisitor sp. MNHN IM 2013-18505. RNAcentral describes it as "12S ribosomal RNA". The stretch from base 252 to 962 matches the Rfam family "Microsporidia small subunit ribosomal RNA". The record is from RNAcentral. Lineage: Eukaryota; Metazoa; Mollusca; Gastropoda; Neogastropoda; Pseudomelatomidae.